GCCUGGGUGGCUCAGUUGGUUGAGCAUCCGACUUUGACUCAGGUCAUGAUCUCACAGCUCGUGGGUUCGAGCCCCGUGUUGGGCU
RNAcentral lists this transfer RNA (85 nucleotides) under Felis catus (domestic cat). It matches the Rfam family "tRNA". From Rfam's summary of the family: Transfer RNA (tRNA) molecules are approximately 80 nucleotides in length. Their secondary structure includes four short double-helical elements and three loops (D, anti-codon, and T loops). RNAcentral also lists the same sequence under 2 other names. Lineage: Eukaryota; Metazoa; Chordata; Mammalia; Carnivora; Felidae. The record is from Rfam by way of RNAcentral.